RNAcentral lists this long non-coding RNA (817 nucleotides) under Crocodylus porosus (Australian saltwater crocodile). RNAcentral describes it as "lncRNA (ENSCPRG00005008809.1)". The record is from RNAcentral. Lineage: Eukaryota; Metazoa; Chordata; Crocodylia; Crocodylidae.
GCUGCCGGGCGGGGCUCCCGGGGUCCACCUCUGCCCUGCCCUGCCCGUGCAGGCGGGUUAUUUGGGGCCCUCCCUGGCCAGACUCGAAGGGCCGAUGCCAGCGCGCUCGGGGUCAGUGGCAGCCCGGCUCGUUUGCCAAAAGACCCAUUUCUGCAGCGGAGACGAGGCUCGCACGGAACUAAAACCUACCCCUGCGGCGAGCGGGCCAGCACGGCGUGAGCAGGCGGCGUGCUGUGCCUGGGACGUACAUAAAGCUGCGCGCUGGGCAAGGUUACAGUUGGAGCGUGGCAUCUUGUGUUGCACAGUGGAGGCUUUUAAGUGAGAGACCAAAUCGGGGGGGAGCACAGAGGAGAGUAUUGAGAGUGCCAUGAAGACUGAAAAUCCUUAAUGGCAGUGAACAAUAUGCUGGUACAGUCACAAAGUGGUGGUUUACAGGAUGAUCAGGCCCUUCUUUUGAUAGCAGACUCCAAGGAGUAAUUGUUUCUGAAGCCUGACUUUGCUGCCCCUAGAAGUGUGCUUCCCCUUCUUUGGUUCCUUCCAUUUUAGAAAUGAAUGACUUUCUGCAAUCAAUGGCUUUAGGAGAUUAAGACAGCAUGCACUAAAUUACAUCUGAAACACUGACUUCUUGAACCAGUUCAUUUGUAUUUCAUCUGUGAAAUAUUAGUUUAACUUGUACACAGUGCAAAUAUUAAUCCCCUUCCCCCCCCAAUCAACAAAAGAAUCGACAAAGUACGACAGAGGUAAAGAGUAGAAGCCAGUAAGUAUAUUUCCUCUGGAGGGGGAAAAAUAAAAUCUGAAGACCUGCUGAAAGAUUUCA